GCUCUCGCAUCGAUGAAGAACGCACUAAAAUGCGAUACUUGGUGUGAAUUGCAGAAUUCCAUGAACCAUCGAGUUUUUGAACGCAAGUUGAGCCCGAUGUCAUUAUGCUAAGGGCACGUCUACCUGGGUGUCACGCACAUCGUUACCCUCCGUCCCCUUUCCUAAUGUGAGAUCAUGUACAUUGGGCUGGACACUAGCCUUUCGUGUGCAUUCAUGCAUGGCUGGCCCAAUUGCAAUUCGACAUCGACACGAUUCACGGUAAUUGGUGGUUGAAGACCUCAACUCUCGCGUUGUCGCGCACGACUGCAUCGUUCUAUCGGAAUGCCUCGAACCCUGAAGGUGCUCCUCGCACCUCGACGAUGACCCCAAGUCAGGUAGGAUCACCCACUGAGUUUAAGCAUAUUAAUAAGUGGAGGAAAAGAAACUUACAAGGAUUUCCCCAGACACGACGAGCGAUCCAGGAAAAGCCCAACUUGAGAAUUGGACGACCCUGUCGUUCGAAUUGUAGUAUGGAGAAGCGCCCUCAGCGAUGGAUCGAGCUCAAGUCCCCCAAAAAAGGGUGCCAGAGAGGGUGAGAGCCCCGUUGUGCUCGGACUUACUGCACCACGAGGCGCCGUCGACAAGUCGGGUUGUUUGGGAAUGCAGCGAUAGCGAGAGAC
Molecule: ribosomal RNA, 659 nt
Filed under: Olea europaea subsp. europaea
Lineage: Eukaryota; Viridiplantae; Streptophyta; Magnoliopsida; Lamiales; Oleaceae
Description: LSU_rRNA_bacteria
Rfam family: Eukaryotic large subunit ribosomal RNA (bases 361-659)
Source: RNAcentral